CGCUUGGGCUGAGGUUCGGUAACGUCUCAACUGGCUGUCAAAACGUUAGCGCGAUACCGAAUCGUACCAAAAGUCUAUCAACGUCCGAGUUUCAUUUGCGCUUCAGUUGAAAAAAUUUAGCGCGAUUGCCCUGCAGUACUACACUUCCUGAGCAUU
Molecule: long non-coding RNA, 156 nt
Organism: Aricia agestis (brown argus)
Lineage: Eukaryota; Metazoa; Arthropoda; Insecta; Lepidoptera; Lycaenidae
Exons: 3
Source: RefSeq, a predicted model, not a curated record